RNAcentral lists this long non-coding RNA (745 nucleotides) under Ovis aries (sheep). Its description in RNAcentral is "lncRNA (ENSOARG00000025573.1)". The record is from RNAcentral. Lineage: Eukaryota; Metazoa; Chordata; Mammalia; Artiodactyla; Bovidae.
AUUUGCAAAGCUGGUGGUCGUACCUGAUGACAGUUUUCCCCCUACUUCUAUUCGAGAGAGUUAGAUUUUGAGAGACUACUUCUUUGAAAAGUUCUGCCCACUGCAGAAGGAGGAACUGCAUGGUCCUUUUUUGCUCCCAAACUCCUGAAAACCAAAAUAUACACUUUUCAUAUGAUUACUUUGGAGAGAAGAAAAGGGAAGGAGUGGAUGUAUCCUCCCAUAUCUCAAGCUUAGAGAGGAUAUCUCAAUAAAACAGCUCAAGCCCCUUGAGGAGUGUUUCUUAUAAUUGGUAGACAGGGUCAACUGAAGUUAGCACCUAAACGAAUCUGAACGGUGAGAAACAGGCAAGACAGCUGUUGACGAACAAACCAAAAGGAUCAUGGCUGAUAGGAAAGCCCACUCUCAGCUUGUCAGUGACGAAGGGAUGUGUGUGUGUGUACACACGUGCAUGCAUGUUCAAGAGGGCUGCCUGAGGGGGCAAACAGACUUGAGUAAAGACAAACCAGAAAUGCUGCCAGAUGCUCAGAGACUGAGUGAAAAGCCAAUGAGAAGGAAUCAGCUCUCAAGGAGUGGAAGACCAGAAAGGCUCCGCAGGAGAAAAGGGGUCAGCUUCCAACUACUUUCAGGCCCAAAGGAGUGUGACGCUGACGCCUUCCUCUCACUCCCUGUAUGCAGACCUUUAUGGGAACAGACACACCUGAUGCCAAGAAUGGAGAAAACCAGUAGAAUUAUAAGUGUAUCCUAA